AACGCGAAGAACCUUACCUAAGCUUGACAUCCCACUGACCUCUCCCUAAUCAGAGAUUUCCCUUCGGGGACAGUGGUGACAGGUGGUGCAUGGUUGUCGUCAGCUCGUGUCGUGAGAUGUUGGGUUAAGUCCCGCAACGAGCGCAACCCUUGUCUUUAGUUGCCAUCAUUAAGUUGGGCACUCUAGAGAGACUGCCGAGGAUAACUCGGAGGAAGGUGGGGAUGACGUCAAAUCAUCAUGCCCCUUAUGCUUAGGGCUACACACGUGCUACAAUGGGUGGUACAGAGGGCAGCCAAGUCGUGAGGCGGAGCUAAUCCCUUAAAGCCAUUCUCAGUUCGGAUUGUAGGCUGAAACUCGCCUACAUGAAGCUGGAGUUGCUAGUAAUCGCGAAUCAGCAUGUCGCGGUGAAUACGUUCCCGGGUCUUGUACACACCG
RNAcentral lists this ribosomal RNA (435 nucleotides) under uncultured bacterium. RNAcentral describes it as "bacterial SSU rRNA". It matches the Rfam family "Bacterial small subunit ribosomal RNA", at positions 958 to 1392 of the family's 1533-position model. The record is from RNAcentral.